Hippoglossus stenolepis (Pacific halibut) is the source of this 105-nucleotide small nucleolar RNA. RefSeq annotates it as small nucleolar RNA SNORD67. Lineage: Eukaryota; Metazoa; Chordata; Actinopteri; Pleuronectiformes; Pleuronectidae. The transcript has a single exon. The record is from RefSeq and is a predicted model, not a curated record.
GGUGGAGGCGAUGAGUGGCACUAAUCAGCCGGGCUGCAGUGGCAUCGCACUUCUCGUCCGAACCUAACCUGAGGACACCACAGCACAGGGGCCAUCUGACCCACA